GAUCAUGGCUCAGGGUAAACGCUGGCGGCGCACAUAAGACAUGCAAGUCGAACGAACUUAACCAUUAGUUUACUAUUGGAGCGGUUAGUGGCGGACUGGUGAGUAACACGUAAGCAACCUGCCUAUCGGAGGGGAACAACAGUUAGAAAUGACUGCUAAUACCGCAUAUGCCUUAGAAUCACAUGGUUCAAAAGGGAAAGGAGCAAUCCGCUGAUAGAUGGGCUUGCGUCUGAUUAG
Molecule: ribosomal RNA, 237 nt
Filed under: uncultured bacterium
Lineage: Bacteria
Description: partial 16S ribosomal RNA
Rfam family: Bacterial small subunit ribosomal RNA
Source: RNAcentral